Molecule: non-coding RNA, 58 nt
Organism: Aedes albopictus (Asian tiger mosquito)
Lineage: Eukaryota; Metazoa; Arthropoda; Insecta; Diptera; Culicidae
Source: Rfam
UAGCCUAGAUGUUAAGGCUAUGGAUCGCCAAUCCGGAGACGGCGGGUUCGAUUCCCGU